RNAcentral lists this transfer RNA (88 nucleotides) under Chloroflexota bacterium. RNAcentral describes it as "Chloroflexi bacterium (sediment metagenome) tRNA-Leu". It matches the Rfam family "tRNA". Rfam says of the family: Transfer RNA (tRNA) molecules are approximately 80 nucleotides in length. Their secondary structure includes four short double-helical elements and three loops (D, anti-codon, and T loops). Lineage: Bacteria; Bacillati; Chloroflexota. The record is from RNAcentral. RNAcentral also lists the same sequence under 1 other name.
GGGGGGAUGGCGUAACGGGCAGCCGCAGCUGACUUAAAAUCAGCCGCCCUUUGCGGGCGUGGGGGUUCGAGUCCCCCUCCCCCUACCC